AAAGUCUCUGAAAGAAAAUGCUGGGAGCCCCAUCACAAGAUAUAUUCUUUGGAGGAGCAGCAGGGGAAACCUCCCCCCAGGUACCAUUUUAAGGGGGGAGGUGUGUGGCAGGGCACUGUUGGUGCCUGCCACUUUAAGAUCUGAGCCAAGCAGCCAGCAGGUGCUUGAUUGUGGCAGCCAUUUUAGAUCCCUGGCUGCCUAUAUAAACAGAUCAGUUCCCUACUGGCAGGGCAGGCAGUAACAUUACUUAGCUGCAUAGAACAUUCUGGAGGUUGGUGGAAGUUUCUAAUGCUGUUGAGGGAUGAUUGGUUUCAACUCUAACAGGUAGCAGGGCUUCUACAAGAAGAGCUCAAUCAGAAAAAUAAUGGAGCAAUACUUCUGUGGCAAAGGACUCAGGAAGACCAAAACAGCUCAGAAUACUUCCUAUAUGAAAUGUCUGGGUUUACCUUGUGAAUAACGCUUGCAUAUAUAAUACUGCUAAUCUGUAGCACCCCAGAGCACCCUUAAAAGCAUCUCAAGGCACCUCAGGGUGCUGUGGUACCUAGGUUGAACAAAUCACUGAUUUAGACUGUUUGUUUGAUUUAUUACUGUUAAAAUUGAUCUCCAUUAAUAAUGGCCAAUCACCUGCGUAAGUAAUGGAGUAAUUGCUAGAAGUGCAACUUGUACAAAAUUAAUUCGCACUGUUGGCAGGCAUCUUUCUGCAUUAGACCAGGGGUGCUCAACCUCUGGCCUGCAGGGCAUGAGGCCUGUGCAGCCUUGGAAUCCAGCUUAUGGGCCUCCCCAAGGGCUGGGAAAUGUGGCUGUAGGGGAGCAGUAGCUGUUAAUACCAUCACCCUUCCCUGCUGCCAAAAUCCAAAGCCCCUCUCAAUGGGUUGGAGUCAGGCCAUGCCCCAUUCCCUCCAUGUGGCUGGAUUGGGCCAGUCAGUGCCCCCCCCCUCCCCCCCAGCUGAUUUGGGGGUGGCCCCUAUACCCCUUUCUCUCCCUCCCAACAUGCCUGAGCCAUACUAUGCCCCCUCCCCCACCCCUGCAUAGCUGGAUCAGGGCUGGGUCAUGCUCCCUCCCCCCAUGCAGGACCAAGUUGGGGUUGGACAAACCCCCUUUUCCCCACAUGCCUGGAUUGGGUUCUGCCACACUUAUUCUGGGUUCUGGAUUGGGUCCACCAGCCCACGCAGGGACUGGGUACUGCCCAUCCAGCUUGCUAGACAAAAAGGUUGAGCAUGGCUGAGUUAGACCCUUCAAUGUAUAAAUCCCAGAAUCCCCUUAUCCCAUUCAAUGUAUAAAUGCCAGAAUUUCCCAGCUCUGCUUCUCUUACUGCUACAGUCCAGAAGAACGUAUAUAUCCCUAAGCUAUGUAUUCAUUGUCAUGUAAUGUAGUAAGCUCCUAGUUGAAAUGUUUUUUAAAACAUUUACAAGUCUUAAUAAAUAUUUUAAAUAAAGUUGCAAUACCAAACAGCUACAUUACAUCUGUUGCAUGCUGAGGUACACUUAAAAUCCCUUUCAGUUUCUGUGCAUGAGAACAUGGGCAGUCCCAAAUGCAGGUGAAUCCCUUCAUUACAUUGGGUAACAAAUCUAGGUGCAGGAUGGUCAACCAAGCAGAAGGGCAGCUCUUUUUGUGCAUGGCAGAGCACAUCCCCUGUGUAGCUUUUGCAUGGGGGUAACUGUGUGCAGAGGGGAGAGCUCCCCAGGAUCAUCGUGCAGGAAGGUGAAGGAACCCUGUCCAGGCUGCUAUAGAGCCAAUGAGUAGGGUGCAGAAUUUUAUUUCCUCUGUCCAUAGCCUGCUUAUACAGGCUUCAUGCAGGCCCUUAUUUGUCUCUUAUUAAUGAUCUAAAAAAAUCAGCAAUACUUCACUUUAAUCCGGUUGGCUCUACCCCUACCCUUUACUCUCACAGACAUAGUAUACAGACUGGAUACUGUGAGAGCACAGGUGCUGAUGCUACUUGGCAUGCUGGUUUCUUAAAAGUGAUUGUAUGCAUUUGUUUUUUAAGAGACCUGUGAUUCUGCUUUCUGUGGAAGGUGCUUAAAAGAAAGAUAAUUUUUAACACACAACCGGACAGUGACUACCUUGAAUCAUCCCAAGUGGAAGUGUUCCUUCACGCUAUACUAGCGGCCUACAGGUUUUACACGCUUAUUUCUAAGACCUUGCUACCCUCUGUUCCAGAACAGAUUUCCCAUUCAGACUAUUAGUUGUACUGUAGCACCCAAAGGCCUCAAUGAACUAGGCACUCUAGGUAGAUGUAGUGAAAAACA
Alligator mississippiensis (American alligator) is the source of this 2246-nucleotide long non-coding RNA. RefSeq lists it as uncharacterized. The record is from RefSeq and is a predicted model, not a curated record. Lineage: Eukaryota; Metazoa; Chordata; Crocodylia; Alligatoridae. The transcript is spliced from 3 exons.